AUCUUUAUCCACUGCAGUCCAGAGGUGUGCCAUCCCUCUUCUGGCUCCUGUGAGCAAAGCUGCACCAGGAAACGGAGAGACACUCAUGCCAAGACCAUCUCGAGUGGAACGACAGUGGUUUCUAGUGGAGAAGUUACUCUGGUCAUGUGAAUUCGGUGGGUUUUAAUAAACCAUGAAACUUCAAGAUU
Molecule: long non-coding RNA, 188 nt
Organism: Sinocyclocheilus grahami
Lineage: Eukaryota; Metazoa; Chordata; Actinopteri; Cypriniformes; Cyprinidae
Exons: 2
Source: RefSeq, a predicted model, not a curated record